UGAUGAAGGCUUUCGGGUCGUAAAGCACUGUUGUAUGGGAAGAAAUGCUAAAAUAGGGAAUGAUUUUAGUUUGACGGUACCAUACCAGAAAGGGACGGCUAAAUACGUGCCAGCAGCCGCGGUAAUACGUAUGUCCCGAGCGUUAUCCGGAUUUAUUGGGCGUAAAGCGAGCGCAGACGGUUGAUUAAGUCUGAUGUGAAAGCCCGGAGCUCAACUCCGGAAUGGCAUUGGAAACUGGUUAACUUGAGUGUUGUAGAGGUAAGUGGAACUCCAUGU
This 276-nucleotide ribosomal RNA is filed under the name uncultured Leuconostoc sp. RNAcentral's name for it is "partial 16S ribosomal RNA". It matches the Rfam family "Bacterial small subunit ribosomal RNA", at positions 406 to 674 of the family's 1533-position model. Lineage: Bacteria; Bacillati; Bacillota; Bacilli; Lactobacillales; Lactobacillaceae. The record is from RNAcentral.